GAUGAAGAACGUAGCGAAAUGCGAUAAGUAAUGUGAAUUGCAGAAUUCAGUGAAUCACCGAAUCUUUGAACGCACAUUGCGCCCUCUGGUAUUCCGGGGGGCAUGCCUGUUCGAGCGUCAUUAUAACCACUCAAGCUCUCGCUUGGUAUUGGGGUUCGCGGUUUCGCGGCCCCUAAAAUCAGUGGCGGUGCCUGUCGGCUCUACGCGUAGUAAUACUUCUCGCGAUUGAGUUCGAUAGGUCUACUUGCCAGUAACCCCCAAUUUUUACAGGUUGACCUCGGAUCAGGUAGGGAUACCCGCUGAACUUAAGCAUAUCAAUAAGCGGAGGA
RNAcentral lists this unclassified non-coding RNA (329 nucleotides) under soil metagenome. RNAcentral's name for it is "partial contains 5.8S ribosomal RNA, internal transcribed spacer 2, and large subunit ribosomal RNA". The stretch from base 1 to 120 matches the Rfam family "5.8S ribosomal RNA", at positions 35 to 154 of the family's 154-position model. The record is from RNAcentral.